AUAUUAUAUCAAUAAAAUAUACAUCCUAAUUUUUACAACAAUAAACCCUACGACUACAGUCAUCACACCUACAUCAAAAAUUUUAUAGUAAUAAAUCUAUAACUACAUACCGACGAACCAAUCACCCACUUAACAUCAUUUCUUUUUGUUAGUAUCAUUUCUUAAAACGUUUGUAUAGAUAUUGCUAGGUGUCACUUUGAAACG
This 204-nucleotide small RNA is filed under the name Arabidopsis thaliana (thale cress). RNAcentral's name for it is "ATSL050490". The record is from RNAcentral. Lineage: Eukaryota; Viridiplantae; Streptophyta; Magnoliopsida; Brassicales; Brassicaceae.